RNAcentral lists this ribosomal RNA (700 nucleotides) under Microbacterium sp. RNAcentral's name for it is "bacterial SSU rRNA". It matches the Rfam family "Bacterial small subunit ribosomal RNA", at positions 92 to 805 of the family's 1533-position model. The record is from RNAcentral. Lineage: Bacteria; Bacillati; Actinomycetota; Actinomycetes; Micrococcales; Microbacteriaceae.
UCAGUGGCGAACGGGUGAGUAACACGUGAGCAACCUGCCCUGGACUCUGGGAUAAGCGCUGGAAACGGCGUCUAAUACUGGAUAUGAGACGUGAUCGCAUGGUCAACGUUUGGAAAGAUUUUUCGGUCUGGGAUGGGCUCGCGGCCUAUCAGCUUGUUGGUGAGGUAAUGGCUCACCAAGGCGUCGACGGGUAGCCGGCCUGAGAGGGUGACCGGCCACACUGGGACUGAGACACGGCCCAGACUCCUACGGGAGGCAGCAGUGGGGAAUAUUGCACAAUGGGCGGAAGCCUGAUGCAGCAACGCCGCGUGAGGGAUGACGGCCUUCGGGUUGUAAACCUCUUUUAGCAGGGAAGAAGCGAAAGUGACGGUACCUGCAGAAAAAGCGCCGGCUAACUACGUGCCAGCAGCCGCGGUAAUACGUAGGGCGCAAGCGUUAUCCGGAAUUAUUGGGCGUAAAGAGCUCGUAGGCGGUUUGUCGCGUCUGCUGUGAAAUCCCGAGGCUCAACCUCGGGCCUGCAGUGGGUACGGGCAGACUAGAGUGCGGUAGGGGAGAUUGGAAUUCCUGGUGUAGCGGUGGAAUGCGCAGAUAUCAGGAGGAACACCGAUGGCGAAGGCAGAUCUCUGGGCCGUAACUGACGCUGAGGAGCGAAAGGGUGGGGAGCAAACAGGCUUAGAUACCCUGGUAGUCCACCCCGUAA